RNAcentral lists this ribosomal RNA (672 nucleotides) under uncultured bacterium. Its description in RNAcentral is "bacterial SSU rRNA". It matches the Rfam family "Bacterial small subunit ribosomal RNA", at positions 140 to 810 of the family's 1533-position model. The record is from RNAcentral.
GGGAUAACCUUGCGAAAGUAAGACUAAUACCCAAUGAUAUCUCUAGAAGGCAUCUGAAAGAGAUUAAAGAUUUAUCGGUGAUGGAUGGGGAUGCGUCUGAUUAGCUUGUUGGCGGGGUAACGGCCCACCAAGGCAACGAUCAGUAGGGGUUCUGAGAGGAAGGUCCCCCACAUUGGAACUGAGACACGGUCCAAACUCCUACGGGAGGCAGCAGUGAGGAAUAUUGGUCAAUGGACGAGAGUCUGAACCAGCCAAGUAGCGUGCAGGAAGACGGCCCUAUGGGUUGUAAACUGCUUUUAUAAGGGAAUAAAGUGAGUCUCGUGAGACUUUUUGCAUGUACCUUAUGAAUAAGGACCGGCUAAUUCCGUGCCAGCAGCCGCGGUAAUACGGAAGGUCCGGGCGUUAUCCGGAUUUAUUGGGUUUAAAGGGAGCGUAGGCCGGAGAUUAAGCGUGUUGUGAAAUGUAGAUGCUCAACAUCUGAACUGCAGCGCGAACUGGUUUCCUUGAGUACGCACAAAGUGGGCGGAAUUCGUGGUGUAGCGGUGAAAUGCUUAGAUAUCACGAAGAACUCCGAUUGCGAAGGCAGCUCACUGGAGCGCAACUGACGCUGAAGCUCGAAAGUGCGGGUAUCGAACAGGAUUAGAUACCCUGGUAGUCCGCACGGUAACCGAU